GAUGAACGCUCGCGAUAGGCUUAACACAUGCAAGUCGAGGGGCAGCACAAGGUAGCUUGCUAUCUGGGUGGCGACCGGCGCACGGGUGCGUAACGCGUAUGCAACUUGCCCUAUACAGGAGGAUAACCCGUCGAAAGACGGACUAAUACUGCGUAUGCUCACAACUUGGCAUCAAGUGGUGAGGAAAGAAAUUCGGUAUAGGAUAGGCAUGCGUCCCAUUAGCUUGUUGGUGAGGUAACGGCUCACCAAGGCAACGAUGGGUAGGGGAACUGAGAGGUUUAUCCCCCACACUGGUACUGAGACACGGACCAGACUCCUACGGGAGGCAGCAGUGAGGAAUAUUGGGCAAUGGGCGCGAGCCUGAACCAGCCAAGUCGCGUGAAGGAUGACUGUCUUAUGGAUUGUAAACUUCUUUUAUACGGGAAUAACAAGAGUCACGUGUGACUCCCUGCAUGUACCGUAUGAAUAAGCAUCGGCUAACUCCGUG
RNAcentral lists this ribosomal RNA (487 nucleotides) under uncultured bacterium. RNAcentral's name for it is "partial 16S ribosomal RNA". It matches the Rfam family "Bacterial small subunit ribosomal RNA", at positions 28 to 507 of the family's 1533-position model. The record is from RNAcentral.